This 1243-nucleotide long non-coding RNA is filed under the name Coturnix japonica (Japanese quail). Its description in RNAcentral is "lncRNA (ENSCJPG00005010809.1)". Lineage: Eukaryota; Metazoa; Chordata; Aves; Galliformes; Phasianidae. The record is from RNAcentral.
GGGAUUUGUAUCUCUCUUGAAAAGCUUGAUGAUUUGAGCCUUGGACUGUAUGAGGAUUUUGGUCAAGGAAUAGCUGAAACUAUACAGUUGCGUCCUUCUUCUGGUAUCCACAGCAAGGAGGUGUGUACACACAUCUCUUUCUUCAAAAAGAUGAAUGUGAUUCUAUCACACUUACUCACUCCUGCUACAACAGAAGUUGAUUCCUUGUUCAGAACGUUUAAACUUUCUGUACUUCUGAGGUGAGCAACCAUCAAAAUUAUUUUAGCUGACCUUUUAUUCCUGCAGCCUGGGGAAAGAAGGUUGAGUUUUAACUCAAGAGUUGGUUCUGCUGCUCCCUUUCCCUAUCAUUUUGUCUCUACAAAUUAGCUGCAAGUUCUGCUUACCAUAUACCUUUGAAUUUUUUGCCUAUAUGAGAAAGUCUGAGUGUUGUUUAGGCAGUCUUUGUGAAAGAUUGUAUCCUGAGCCAAGCAUUUAAAGUACACUUUUAAUGAGCUCUGUCUCUACUUGAAAUUUUUUUUAUUUUUUCCCUUUGCUGCCUUUUCUGGCUUCCAUACAGAGUUUCUAUUAUGUUUGAAAGUAUACAGUUUAAAACUCAGAUUUUCUGUUUUCUGAGUGACCCCAUGCUUCUACGUGCACCCUUCCCCAUUUAGCAAUAUCUUUAAAUACAAUUUAUCACAGUGCAGUAUAAUCCCUAGGACCAGGAACACAAAGUCACUGGCAGUGAGGGCUCAGGGAGCUCAAGGUCAAGUUUCUCUUGUCCCAUUGCAACCUGUGUUCAGGAGCAUUUCCACAAGAGAGACUAUUUUAGUUCUUCAGAAUGGCUUCCUCUCUUGAAGUGUUUACCUCAUUGAAACAGUUCCUCUAAGCAAGCAUAAGGUAGUUUAUCUAAUGACCUAAUUAUUUCAUUAACUGCACGAAUUUCCAGGGCUAUACACUUAGAGAUAAGUACAUUGGUCUAAGAAAAUAUCAGGUAAAAUGUGUUCCUUGCCUCUCUGAACUUCCCUUCAUUUUCUCUUAACAGUGUUUCUAGAGUAGAUGUUUAGUUUCAUUGUGACUCAUUUUAUUUUUUUAACUUAAUGCUAUCUGAAAUUCGGGGUAAUAAUUACUUUGUUCAGGAUUGAUGUGGACAGAAGUAACUUGAUUUUGGUUAAAUCAGUUCAUUCUAUAUGGAAGCAACUGAACAUCAGAACUGAAACCUAACCUUCUUUUAGAUGAUCAUCUAAAAAGUCCUUAAUCUGUAGAG